Long non-coding RNA from Haliotis rubra (blacklip abalone), 119 nucleotides. RefSeq lists it as uncharacterized. Lineage: Eukaryota; Metazoa; Mollusca; Gastropoda; Lepetellida; Haliotidae. The transcript is spliced from 3 exons. The record is from RefSeq and is a predicted model, not a curated record.
UCUGGACAUGCUUCACGGUCCAUGAAUGUAGCAAAAGUACUGUGUAAGUCCCCAAGGUUCCUAGUAUGGUGAUCUACCUUCAGUUGUUGGCGAUCAAUAGCCCGUUUUUGUUUUCAUUG